This 496-nucleotide ribosomal RNA is filed under the name uncultured bacterium. RNAcentral describes it as "partial 16S ribosomal RNA". It matches the Rfam family "Bacterial small subunit ribosomal RNA", at positions 29 to 507 of the family's 1533-position model. The record is from RNAcentral.
AUGAACGCUGGCGGCGUGCCUAAUACAUGCAAGUCGAGCGAACAGACGAGGAGCUUGCUCCUCUGACGUUAGCGGCGGACGGGUGAGUAACACGUGGAUAACCUACCUAUAAGACUGGGAUAACUUCGGGAAACCGGAGCUAAUACCGGAUAAUAUAUUGAACCGCAUGGUUCAAUAGUGAAAGACGGUUUUGCUGUCACUUAUAGAUGGAUCCGCGCCGCAUUAGCUAGUUGGUAAGGUAACGGCUUACCAAGGCAACGAUGCGUAGCCGACCUGAGAGGGUGAUCGGCCACACUGGAACUGAGACACGGUCCAGACUCCUACGGGAGACAGCAGUAGGGAAUCUUCCGCAAUGGGCGAAAGCCUGACGGAGCAACGCCGCGUGAGUGAUGAAGGUCUUCGGAUCGUAAAACUCUGUUAUUAGGGAAGAACAAAUGUGUAAGUAACUAUGCACGUCUUGACGGUACCUAAUCAGAAAGCCACGGCUAACUACGUG